GCUGUGGCUCAGUGGCAGAGCGCUUGCCUGCCAUGUGUGAGGCCUGGGUUUGAUCCUUAGCACCGCA
RNAcentral lists this transfer RNA (67 nucleotides) under Marmota monax (woodchuck). RNAcentral's name for it is "tRNA.Gly". Lineage: Eukaryota; Metazoa; Chordata; Mammalia; Rodentia; Sciuridae. The record is from RNAcentral.